CAGUAGCCACGGUAAUGCGGAGGGCGCGAGCGUUACCCGGAUUUACUGGGCGUAAAGGGCGUGUAGGCGGCCUGGGGCGUCCCAUGUGAAAGGCCACGGCUCAACCGUGGAGGAGCGUGGGAUACGCUCAGGCUAGAGGGUGGGAGAGGGUGGUGGAAUUCCCGGAGUAGCGGUGAAAUGCGCAGAUACCGGGAGGAACGCCGAUGGCGAAGGCAGCCACCUGGUCCACUUCUGACGCUGAGGCGCGAAAGCGUGGGGAGCAAACCGGAUUAGAUACCCCGGUAGUCCCUGUCUCUUAUAC
RNAcentral lists this ribosomal RNA (301 nucleotides) under uncultured bacterium. Its description in RNAcentral is "partial 16S ribosomal RNA". It matches the Rfam family "Bacterial small subunit ribosomal RNA", at positions 509 to 807 of the family's 1533-position model. The record is from RNAcentral.